AAAUGAAACAUGUAUUUUUCAGUAGAAGAAAUAAUUUUUAAUGAAAAAGAGCCUUACUAUAUGACACGAUGUUUAUCGAUUUUAACAGUUCAAAGCACUUUAAAUGGAUACCCCUAAGGAGCAUCUCUAUAAUGCCUCAGUGCUUCCGGUCCUUCCUUUCUCGAAAGCACUGCGACGGCUGCAGACGGCUGCCGGCAGCGUGGUUGUUCCUUUGGCGAGUUGGUGUCUGGCGCACAGCGCGAACGUCUCAUGAGCAAGAAGCCGUAGAGACGAUGCUCUCAAUGUUGGACACCGAAGUGAGGCAACUCAUCGGGCACAACGCCAAAAUGUCCCUGUUGUGUCCUGCUCCUGGGUCACGCGUGUCGCGCCUUGAUAGCCGUGACCUUGAACGACCUUGACCGGCCGGGCCGGGCCGAGCGGCCGAGGGUCAGUAUCGUCCGAGCGGCGCUGGUGUCAACACAGCUGAGUGCCGCGAGGUGAGG
Molecule: long non-coding RNA, 482 nt
Filed under: Amphibalanus amphitrite
Lineage: Eukaryota; Metazoa; Arthropoda; Thecostraca; Balanomorpha; Balanidae
Description: uncharacterized LOC122372362
Source: RNAcentral